AUGUUAACUGCAGGGUUCAAAAACGAGGUUUCAAAUAAGCUUAAUGCGGAGCCCACUCUUGAGUUUGCAAUCGUGCAAGAUGCAGAUCGUCUGGAUGCAAUUGGUGCGAUUGGUGUUGCAAGAUGUUUUACAUAUGGAGGGAGCAAGAACAGUGCAUUGCAUGAUCCUAACGUACUUCCACGGGAUAAUUUGUCAAAGGAGAAGUAUAUGUCCAAGGAGGAGAAGCAAACAUCAAUUAAUCAUUUCCAUGAGAAACUUUUUAAGUUGAAGGACAUGAUGAAGACCGAGGCUGGGAAAAAGAGAGCAGAGAAAAGGCACAAGUUCAUGGAGAAUUUUGUGGCUGAAUUCUAUGAAGAGUGGAGUGGCAGGGCUUGA
Molecule: ribosomal RNA, 375 nt
Filed under: Triticum aestivum (bread wheat)
Lineage: Eukaryota; Viridiplantae; Streptophyta; Magnoliopsida; Poales; Poaceae
Description: partial small subunit ribosomal RNA
Source: RNAcentral